GAACGCGUGGUCGUGGGUUCGCCCGCGGUCAUGAGUGGCGCACGGGUGAGUAGCGCGUGGGAACCUGCCCUGGAGUGGGGGAUAACCGAGGGAAACUUCGGCUAAUACCGCAUGCGCCCCCGCGAAAGCGGGGGGAAAGAUUUUAUCGCUCCUGGAGGGGCCCGCGUCGGAUUAGGUAGUUGGUGGGGUAACGGCCUACCAAGCCUUUGAUCCGUAGCUGGUCUGAGAGGAUGAUCAGCCACACUGGGACUGAGACACGGCCCAGACUCCUACGGGAGGCAGCAGUGGGGAAUAUUGGACAAUGGGCGCAAGCCUGAUCCAGCAAUGCCGCGUGAGUGAUGAAGGCCUUCGGGUUGUAAAGCUCUUUCGCCCGCGACGAUGAUGACGGUAGCGGGAGAAGAAGCCCCGGCUAACUUCGUG
This 420-nucleotide ribosomal RNA is filed under the name uncultured bacterium. Its description in RNAcentral is "bacterial SSU rRNA". It matches the Rfam family "Bacterial small subunit ribosomal RNA", at positions 64 to 507 of the family's 1533-position model. The record is from RNAcentral.